UGAGAAGGGAGAAUGAUGAAGUGAAGAAGGAGAAUGAUCAAUUGAAGAAGGAGAUUGAUGAAUUGAAGAAGGAGAUUGAUGAAUUGAAGAAUCUUAAGACCCAACAACAGUACUUGGAUUUUAGUUUUUCUGAUCAGGUAAACAGAGAGAUAGAGAGAACAAAUUGGAACUAGUCUGCGCGAGACAGGAGCAGUGAGUUGUUGAUCUGAUAUGGAAAUUGGAGUUGUUCAGGAUUUUAGUUCAGAUUCCAGAAUUUGUAAAUGUUGAGUAGUGUCGUUGCCCUUCAUUUCUGGAUUUUGAAAUGGUCGCCGAGACCUAUUUAUGUAUAAGUUGUAAGUACUCUUAAAUAAAAAGCUAAAAUGCAAGAAAAAAAUCCAUUUCCUGAAACCUAAUGAAACAUAAUCGUUACCGUGUUGCUUUGCU
Molecule: long non-coding RNA, 423 nt
Organism: Tripterygium wilfordii
Lineage: Eukaryota; Viridiplantae; Streptophyta; Magnoliopsida; Celastrales; Celastraceae
Exons: 2
Source: RefSeq, a predicted model, not a curated record